AAGAGAUUUCCGCGUCCAAACUGAUACGCGGUAUAAAGUUUCGUCGGGCCCCCCCCCCCGAGUACGGGGUAAGAUUUCGCUACUGAUGUCCACUAUUGACAUUGAAACGUCGUGAAUAAUUGAAUCGGUAUAGGUUUCGUAACAAGACGUAAUAUAUUUUGUUCGAAAUGCCACGUUGAAAGUUCGAAAGUUAUUUAUUGCAACGUUUGGUCU
Non-coding RNA from Cinara cedri, 213 nucleotides. The record is from the annotation of a GenBank genome assembly. Lineage: Eukaryota; Metazoa; Arthropoda; Insecta; Hemiptera; Aphididae.